CACGUAGGGGGCGAGCGUUGUCCGGAUUUAUUGGGCGUAAAGAGCUCGUAGGCGGUUUGGCAAGUCGGGUGUGAAAUUUCGAGGCUCAACCUCGAAACGCCACUCGAUACUGCCAUGACUGGAGUCCGGUAGAGGAGUGUGGAAUUCCUGGUGUAGCGGUGAAAUGCGCAGAUAUCAGGAGGAACACCGGUGGCGAAGGCGGGUCUCUGGGCCGAUACUGACGCUGAGGAGCGAAAGCGUGGGGAGCGAACAGG
RNAcentral lists this ribosomal RNA (254 nucleotides) under uncultured bacterium. RNAcentral describes it as "partial 16S ribosomal RNA". It matches the Rfam family "Bacterial small subunit ribosomal RNA", at positions 524 to 776 of the family's 1533-position model. The record is from RNAcentral.